UGAUGGGGAUAACAGUUGGAAACGACUGCUAAUACCGAAUACGCUCAUGAUGAACUUUAUGAGGAAAGGCGGCCUCUGCUUGCAAGCUAUCGCAUAGAGAUGAGUCCGCGUCCCAUUAGCUAGUUGGUGGGGUAACGGCCUACCAAGGCAACGAUGGGUAGCCGAUCUGAGAGGAUGAUCGGCCACACUGGAACUGAAACACGGUCCAG
RNAcentral lists this ribosomal RNA (209 nucleotides) under uncultured bacterium. RNAcentral's name for it is "partial 16S ribosomal RNA". It matches the Rfam family "Bacterial small subunit ribosomal RNA", at positions 135 to 334 of the family's 1533-position model. The record is from RNAcentral.